AUGGCGCAGAAACAGGACAGUGUCUUCUGCAGCUCCGACAAGAACUUCCUCAGAACUAUGCGUGCCAAUCUUGUUGGAUCCAAGUACCAGAUUUGGGGCCAGGGGAACCGGGUCGAUGAGCUUAAGAGCCAGUCCAAGCGGCUUCUUGGCAUUAUCGCGUUUGCCCCUACUAUUACUACGCUCAUGGGGAGUUUCAGAAGCAUGAGGGCAUGGAUCCCCAAGAACCAGUCCAUGCAGGUGAGGACCAACAGUUCUGCUCAGAUUCAGCACGUCAGUGGGCUUCCAAAGGAUUGGCGGGAGAAGAGGAGCAGAGCUGACCAACUCUGCUCAAGAUCACCUUUCUACAACAAUAUGACGAAGCACUACGAACUAGAUUUCAGAGAGAGGGUUGGGAGGAUGGAUACAAGGUGCAGACAUCAGUGA
This 423-nucleotide ribosomal RNA is filed under the name Triticum aestivum (bread wheat). RNAcentral describes it as "partial small subunit ribosomal RNA". Lineage: Eukaryota; Viridiplantae; Streptophyta; Magnoliopsida; Poales; Poaceae. The record is from RNAcentral.